RNAcentral lists this transfer RNA (73 nucleotides) under Streptococcus pneumoniae AP200. RNAcentral describes it as "tRNA-Und (NNN) (tRNA-Und-NNN-1-1)". It matches the Rfam family "tRNA". From Rfam's summary of the family: Transfer RNA (tRNA) molecules are approximately 80 nucleotides in length. Their secondary structure includes four short double-helical elements and three loops (D, anti-codon, and T loops). Further hydrogen bonds mediate the characteristic L-shaped molecular structure. tRNAs have two regions of fundamental functional importance: the anti-codon, which is responsible for specific mRNA codon recognition, and the 3' end, to which the tRNAs corresponding amino acid is attached (by aminoacyl-tRNA synthetases). tRNAs cope with the degeneracy of the genetic code in two manners: having more than one tRNA (with a specific anti-codon) for a particular amino acid; and 'wobble' base-pairing, i.e. permitting non-standard base-pairing at the 3rd anti-codon position. The record is from RNAcentral. Lineage: Bacteria; Bacillati; Bacillota; Bacilli; Lactobacillales; Streptococcaceae.
CGGGAAGUAGCUCAGCAUGGUGGAGAAGCACAGGAGGACCAAGGUGUCGCAGGUUCGAAUCCUGUCUUCCCGA